RNAcentral lists this ribosomal RNA (305 nucleotides) under uncultured bacterium. RNAcentral's name for it is "bacterial SSU rRNA". It matches the Rfam family "Bacterial small subunit ribosomal RNA", at positions 29 to 334 of the family's 1533-position model. The record is from RNAcentral.
AACGAACGCUGGCGGCAUGCCUAACACAUGCAAGUCGAACGAGAAAGUCACUUCGGUGGCGAUUAAAGUGGCGAACGGGUGAGUAACGCGUAGAUAAUCUACCCUCCAGUCUGGGAUAACUUCCUGAAAAGGAUGCUAAUACCGGAUAAAAUGUUUAAUCGAGUGUUUGGACAUUGAAAGUUCCGGCGCUGGGGGAUGAGUCUGCGUCCCAUUAGCUAGUUGGUGGGGUAAUGGCCUACCAAGGCAACGAUGGGUAGCGGGUCUGAGAGGAUGAUCCGCCACACUGGCACUGAGACACGGGCCAG